Molecule: long non-coding RNA, 748 nt
Filed under: Phasianus colchicus (ring-necked pheasant)
Lineage: Eukaryota; Metazoa; Chordata; Aves; Galliformes; Phasianidae
Description: lncRNA (ENSPCLG00000016953.1)
Source: RNAcentral
AUGGGUUUUAGGGUCUCCCAGUUGGAUUUUGGGAUCCGUCAAUGGGUUCUGUGGUCUCCCAGUUGGGUUCUGGGGUCACUCAAUGGGUUUUGGGGUCUCUCAGUGGGUUUUGGGGUCUCCUGGUUGGGUUUUGGGGUCUCCCGGUUGGGUUUUGGGGUCACUCAAUGGGUUUUGGGGUGUCCCAGUUGGAUUUUGGGCUCUCCCAGUUUGGAUACUGGGCUCUCCCAGUUUAGAAUUUUGGGCUCUCCCAGUUUGGAUGCUGGGCUCUCCCAGUUUGGAUGCUGGGCUCUCCCAGUUUGGAUUUUGGGCUCUCCCAGUUUGGGUGCUGGGCUCUCCCAGUUUGGAUGCUGUGCUCUCCCAGUUUGGAUGCUGUGCUCUCCCAGUUUAGAUUUCUGCUCUCCCAGUUUAGAUUUCUGCUCUCCCAGUUUGUUUUUUAUGCUCUCCCAGUUUGGAUUUCUGCUCUCCCAGUUUAGAUUUGCGCUCUCCCAUUCAGAUGCCGCCUCUCCCAGUCCCCCCCCCUCAGUUCCAAUAUUUCCCCGUUCUAUUUCCCACUGCCCCCCCGUAGCUCGGUGUCCCCCUGUGGUCUGUGUGUUUAUUUGGGGGGGGGUCUCCCCUUUUUCCCCCUUGCCCCCCCCCAUAACCGUUCCCUUUGCAGAUAGCGGCGAAAAUCGGGGGGGAUGCGGCCACGACGGUCAACAACAGCGGCCCGGAUUUCAGCUUCGGGGGGCAAAAACGGCAGCUGGAGGAC